This 1469-nucleotide long non-coding RNA is filed under the name Mytilus galloprovincialis (Mediterranean mussel). Lineage: Eukaryota; Metazoa; Mollusca; Bivalvia; Mytilida; Mytilidae. The record is from RNAcentral.
UUCAUUUACAGUUCAGGCUUGAAUACUUCAGUUUUGUUGGUUUGCUUGUAAAAUGUAUGGGGAAAUAAUAUACAAGUAUUGUUACAUCAUGUUAUUUGCUGAUAUAUAAAGCUUCUAUCACUGUGUUGACAUGUGCAAGAUUAUAAUAUAUAAUUAUGAUUUUAACAGUGCAGUACAAUUUUACAUUUUUCAAAUCUGAGAGCUAGAAUGGCACAAAUAACUUGUAUAAUAGCAAAUCUGUCAUAAAAUUGUUAUUAGCUGGAAAAAGUUAAUGGUACAAAUUUUGAAACAUGUUUUCACAUCUCAACAACUCAGACUUCUUUUUCUUGAAAUGUGUUCAUCAAAAGAAUACCUUGGGAAAAUAUAUCGUCACAAAUUUGAAUUUUGUACUAAUUGUUGGUUGUUCUGUUUGUUUUUUUGUUGUGAAGAGUAUUUCAUAACUUUGUCAGAGUAAGUUGACAGUUUCCUGCAUGAUGAAGAAAACAUUGUACAUGUUAUAAAUUAUAAUUGAUCUAGAAUGUCCAAAUAUACAAGUGUAAGGUCACAAAGUCUAUGUUAUAACACAUUAAAUAUGUUAUGCUCCUGCUUUGUGUACGCUCAAUGUUUACAACAUGUAUCUUGCUUACAUUUAAUUAAAAUGCUUCAAUGUAUAAAAUUAUAGGCCCAGAAAUUUCUUAUGGUCUUUGGGACGACAUAAAAAAAUCAAUGAAGGAUAAAAAACUUAAUUCAAAUAGUUUGUGGGUGGGGGUCAAAAUUACUGCAAAUUUUCUUUAAUUGACAUCAAUUUUAUAUAUAUCUUCAUUGUAUAAAAAAGAAGAUGUGGUAUCAGUGCCAAUGAGACAACUCUCCACAAGAGACCAAAAAGAACAAAAAUUAACAACUAUAGGUCACCGUACAGUCUUCAACAAUGAGCAAAACCCAUACCACAUACAUGUAGUCAGCUAUAAAAGGCCCCGUAAUGACAAUGUAAAACCUAAUUGGUCAAUCAAUUUUUCCCAAAUUAAGUUAAGAGGGGGGUAGGGGGUUCCGUGAAAGUACCAUUUAAUUCUUUAUAAUGAGUAGAGUUUUAAUUCUCAUAAAAAUAUCAGCUUUCAAAAUGUGUUUAAAUAUUAAGCUUUCACUUAAAAAAAAUACAAGGUUUAUAUAUUUAUGCUUACUUACAGAAAUAUACAUUUUUCUGUGCAAUAAAAUAGCUGCUUAUCUUUUGGCAAUUGCUUGAGGGGAAAUUAAUAUGGGACCAACAACAGAUUUUCACAAUGCUAGACCAAACCUUUUCAAAACGUUUAUGUUAUAGACCAUGUUGCCAAAAUAAUUGACCAUAACAUUAUUUUGUAGAAGUUAUAAAGAAAUGUUUGUUAUUAUGGCCAUCAUAUUUUUUCUGUUCUGUUGUGUUAGUUGAAUUUUUCUGUUCUGUUAUGUUAGUUGAUUUUUCUUUAGACUUUGUUCAUUUUUCUUAUGUGCAAUCCUAG